Long non-coding RNA from Dromaius novaehollandiae (emu), 5524 nucleotides. RefSeq lists it as uncharacterized. The record is from RefSeq and is a predicted model, not a curated record. The transcript has 3 exons. Lineage: Eukaryota; Metazoa; Chordata; Aves; Casuariiformes; Dromaiidae.
UGGCAAGUUAACUGUGAUGACACAUGCAGUAACUGCACGUACUUGUACUAGAAAAUGCAAGUGUCGUGAAAGCGGUGGACAAAUGGCAGGUGAAAUCACAGGAGAAGCGAGCUGCCUUCUGCAGAACAGUCGGUACAGAAGGGAACAACGGAUCUGGAAAGACAACUAACAGUACCCUGAACCAAUCAAUUAAUUCUGACUCAAUAACAAAAGAACUGCACAUGGGAUCUGGGACUUGCAGAUCUUCUCUAACGGCCUACCACUUAGUGCAUUUAUCCAUUAGGCACAAGACACAUCUUUUCUUCCUCUGGGACAAAUUCCAUACUGCACACAGUCAUCUAUUCAGGACAUCCCGUUCUUCCCUCCAGCAGCUCUUAAAUGUAAGACACAAAAGGAGCCUUUGAGACAAGGAUCACAAUGUGCAGCUCUCCCAUUUGCAAGCCGGAUGCACUACAAGCAAACGAAGCCUUGCUUCAAGAACGUGACUCCCAUUCCAGCUAGGACAAAAUAUGGCUUGGGAAAUAGGGCAUUUCCUGGAAAGUGCAAGAUCUGGAUUUAAAGUCCCCAGAAUGAGGGCAGUAUGCAAACAGAUCCUUCUUUAUGGACAACUGCUUUGAUGCAGAAUUAUCACCUUUUUCCUCUUCCUUCUUAAGAAAACAAAGUUCUGCUGUGAUUUGUUACACCUCAGAUUGUGGAAUAAAAACAUUUCUGAGUAUCUGUUAAAUUAACCUUUUUGAAAGACUUUGCUUACUUUUGAGAACUUUCUUGAGAUUAGGCUGAUGUAAGUACCUAGGUACUUAGACUGGGGCAAUUGCAUUUUGGAAAAUAUUCACAGAUGCAUGAAGAAAUUUUUAAUGAAAAAGGAGGAAGUAGCUAAAAUACAGCAACUUCAAAGCAGGCAACUAUUGAGUGAUAGUAUCCUGGUGAAUUCCCUUUGGGCAUCUAAAUCAUUUUUUAUAACAACCCAUAUAGUAAACACCUCAUCCCUGUUGAGUGGAAGAAUGCAAUCAAUGAAAUACUGCAAGUACAGGCCAGAGAAAGAGGAAGGAAAACCAUGUUGUCUUGCCUGUGCUUUUCUCUCUAUUUCCCCCUCUCCUUUCAGGCUUCCUCCCCUUUCUUCUGUACUCCUUAACCCUAGCCCUGAUCUCCUAUCUCCUUCCUCUUCCAGUAUUUCUGCUCAUAUUAGAGUCUCCAUAGCCUUUGUCUUUUGCUUCGUGCUCAACUAUUUUUCACCCCCCCAAUCGUACCCUGCAACAAGCCCCGAGUUUGGGAGACUGUAAUGCAAAUGUGGACAUAUCUCCUCCAGCAGCUUAUCCAUUAUCCAUAGGAGCAUAGUUCAGUGUUCUCUUCAUGUUUCUCAGCAAUACAUUAUUUAUUAAGAAUUUUUUUCAGCCGAAGACUAAAUUCAUUUACUGUGCCAUACAGAUAUAAAAUGAGAGAGGAGCUGGACAUAAAGAUGAUGGAAAAGGACCCAGGGUGAUUAUGGCUCAGCAGUGCUUGAAUGUUUCCAAGCAGCUCUGACCCAUAAAGGAGAGAUGCUCCUUCAAGAAACUUCAUGGAAGGCAUUUGACUUUAAUACUGGGUGAAAUCUGUGAAAUCUGUACAUGCUUAUUGAGGCUGCUACUGAUCUGGAAUUAAAAAAAAAAAUGAUAAAAUAAUAGAAAGACAUUCUCUGAAAACAAAGUUCCCUAUUUUCAGAAAUGACUGGCUCAAAAUAAAGCCACUUAUAAUUUAUCAAAAGAAAAUUUGUACAGCUCAGUGAAGUACGAAUGGAAGUUUGGAGAGGAAAGCAAGGAUGGAAAUGGAUAUCUGUUUUCAGAGGCAAAAAAAAGAAGGGUGAAAGCUUUUCACAACAUUCUUACUCAAAUAAAGACAAAAGCUAUUUUUGACAACUCAAAAAAGAUGGCAAGGCAAGGCAAGGCAAGGCAAGGAAAGGAAAGAUUAGGGUUGUUUUACUCUAAAAUAGAGGAGAGGAAAUAAUAUAAUUUGAAUGUUAGCUAGAAAAGACAGUUCCUGAUCCAUCUAUUUCCCCUUAAACACAUUAUUGUCACCACAAUCAGCAUUCAAAGAGCAAAGGUUGCACACAGUUAUUAAACAGACACUUGGUUUUCAUGGUGCACUUUAUUAUCACCUCAUCACUAACAGAACUUUAUUUUUGUUUUUAAUUUUCUUUUUAACUGAGUGAGAAUUUAGGAUGUGCUAAAAUUGCAGAAUUUAUUGCACUGAGGCCCACAGAGAGGAACUAUGUACUAUUUCUAGUAUUUGCUUUCAUUUGCAUUUCUUUGUUUUGCAUAGUUUUCUAAUUUUAAAGGGGUGCUUUCAUGUUCACCAAUCUUUUUCAGAAAAAUAUCUGAUACAACACCGUGUAUCUAGUAUACUAGAAACACAGAAUAUGUUUUUCAGAAUGUUUAUUAAAGCAGUAAUUUGUUUUAGUUACAUCAAAAAUAUACAGGAGCAUAUAGAAAUUUGAGUCUCACUGUCUGCAGAAUAUGCACUGCCUGCCUUGUCCAUGGGGAUGCUGGAAUACAUUUCCCAGACUUCAGGAAAUUUGGAUUGUCAAGUUACCAGACAAUACCUGGGAGAGUCCUUGAAUGCUGUGACAUGCACUUCUAAUGGAGCUGAUCCCAGCCUUGGGGCUUCACCUCAAAAAACAUGAUUAUGUGUGAGCAAGUCUAUUUACUAACAUAAUGGGGGAAAAAAGCAUCUUUUGCUCAUGUUAUCUGAUGUUAGCAAGCAAUCCACAGUUUUGAUGGACUGAUUUAUUGCUACUGUUUUCUCUGGCAUUGGAUUUAACUCAUCAGAAGUUAGCUGAUAUGGAAAGAAACAUGGACUUAUCUUCCAUUCUUAAAGCAAAUGACUAUUCUGAUCCAAGAAAGGCUGAUUUACUUGCCAGUAUCUGUGUAGUAGAUGCUGCAGCACCUAUAAUGCGUUUGCUUUUCUACUGCAAAAUUGUAGUGUUCCAUUUAUCUUCCCCAGGUGGUCAUAACUACUGUGGCAUACGUAGUAUCGACUAUUUUUGACUUCAAAUGCAUCUUCUUAAACUGACUGACACCACACUCCACGGACAUGGAAAAUGAACAUAUGUUCUCUGCUGCUUCAAAAACAAACCACUGGGAAAAAUGUUAAUAUUCCAACACUUAAAGCUUUCCUUUUUUCCUUAUCAUGUGAGAAGAAAGCAGGUGGAGGAAUUGCAUGUAUUUUCUGAUUAGUACAGUUUGUGCUUGAGUAAGGUUACCUAAAACACAUUUAACAUGAGUCAGGAACAAAGCUGUUGCUAAUUCCCUUCUGAUUCUCUUACUAUGGCAACCCAGAAAGAUAAAGAUGAAAAGAAUUCACUGUCUUCUGCUUUUGCUCUACAAGUCUGUAUGCAGUCUGCUUUUAAACAUUUUCAAUUAAAACACCUUGACAGAUAUUUAAAAACUUGGAGAAAAAAACAGCUAGUGAGAUUGUAAAGAUUUUUGGUAAGGAAAAAAAAGGCUGGAUUCAUCUCUCAUUUCCCUCUUCUGUCACUACCUUUUCACUCCUGCUUUCCUAUUCAUUAAUAUUUUGGUAUUUAGCAUGUUGGUUGCAGUAACUAAGUGUUAAUUUGUUCUUUGGCAUGUUACACCAGGAUGAACCUGGUUAAUUAAAACAGGAAGCACCAUCCCUGAAGCACCAUGGCUGGUGCCUUGGUGUUGAUGCCUCGGGUUCGGUAUAUAAUGAGACUCCUAGCUGCAGGCAAAGGGAGGCUGUGUGCUUUCCCAUCUCUGGCAUGGAACAGAAUUAAGCAUUAACUCUGUAGCAGACCCCUGCUUAUCAGCAACCUUGCUAUUACUACACCGACCCUGAUGUGCAUAAGCAAUAUUUUCAUCCACUUCCCAAGAGAUUUAUCUAGCUGUUGAAGUAGAAAAUGAAUAUUUUACAGUUCACUUGUCUGAUCAAUUACCUACAAGCUGCUGCAGUAUUUUAUAGCCAGUGGGAGAGCUGUGUAGGUGAUGAUAGAGAAAUCUGGAGGGAAUCUGUUAGCCAACUACAAAAAAGAGAAUAAAACUGUGAAUGAGCCAUCAGUAACAGACCUUUUGUUCAUAAGGGUCUAGCCAGAAAUUACAGUGUAACCAAUUAAAGUACAUAAAUGAUAAUCAGCAGAAUGUGAAUUCCAGAGGUGAAGAAAUUUGAUUGCUUGAUUGGAGGAUAAUGAAGUGCAGAAAUGAUUCAAAGCCAACCCCUUCUCAGUGAAACAUCUCCCUCAGUACUUUAUUUGCCAUUUUUGUCUUUUAGAUAAUUGGAAGAAACUCUUUCCUAGAGAUGCUUUGGAAAUUAAAUGAACUCAAAGUUUAAUUGUGUACACUUUGUAGACAAGGCAUUACUGAUCAUAAUGCAGAAAGUUUCAACAACCUAAGUUCCCAGAGGUUUAUUUUAAUAGGAAAAGUUUUUGUUGGCAAUUCAUUUUAAGAACAUUAUAAAUUCCAUCUUGAAUAAGUUCAUGAAAUCUCUCUUAACUGAUUGCAUAUGAAUUAUGUUUUUUUUUUUCUAAGUCACUAAAUGGAAUGUUAUUCUGUUAAUAUUUUAAAAAGAAAGAACAGUGACAAGUUCAAAAUCAUAUUUGAAAAUGAUGAAAGCAUAAAGAAGCUUCCUAGAAGAUUCAAAAGUUAGUUUGUAUUUGCCUGUUUAAGAUUCCUCCAGUCUAGCCCAAGAGCUUUAAGCAUGUCUUUGUUCUUUAAUCUACAGACAGCUCCGUGAGAGAGAGGUCUGUAUCUGUAACAAGAAAAUCAAAUCCGAUUUGUUUAGUGAUAGCCACAAAUAUCUCUUGAAUUAAAAUGAGUUUCAGGCCUUCAACUCUAAAACAGAAAUAAAUCUAGGUCCAGUUAAAAUUCAGAUAGAGCACUGAGUGUCCAGCCUUUUUUUAACUUAUUCCACAACAUCAUCAAGAAGUAAAGGCUGUAAAUAUAUAUUGCUGCCUUACUACAGAUUAUUGGCUUCAUAUUACAUGUUUGACUAACUGCAAAAACUUUUAGGUUAUACUGUGCUUUUACAUUUUAGGAGAACAUGCAUAUUCCAUAUUACAUGCUUUUGAAAAACCUCUUCUUCAUUGUACCCUUUUCAGUAUUUAUUAAAUAUUGCAAAACAGAUUGAGGAAUGAACUUGAAUUUCCCUUAAUAAGUGCCUUUUUUAACUAGCCUUUGAACUAAAAGUAUUCAAAAUCCAGAAAAAAAAUAACUUUUUAAUAUAUCCAAGAAUGUAAGCUCUGUACUUAUGCAUUUAUCAUUACUAUCUUACACUAUUUUUAUUCUCAAAAAUUUACAUAUAUUACCUCCUUGACACAGGUGUUAUCCAAAAGGAAGAAUAAAAUCAUCUUCUAUUUGUGUUUCACGUCUGUUAUUAAAAUGUCCUGCAGCCAUUCUACCAAGUCUCCAAAGCCUCAUGUGUCAAAGAUGAAUGUUACCCACUGUUUACUGUAUUGGCACACCCACACAUGACAGUCCACCACUGCAGACGUUUAAACCACUUUUGAAGGAACAUUACCUCUAUUUCUGAAGCAAAGCAU